GACGAACGCUGGCGGCGUGCUUAACACAUGCAAGUCGAGCGGUGAAGCGCCUUCCUUUUUGGUGGGUGUGGAUGAGUGGCGAACGGGUGAGUAACACGUGAGUAACCUGCCCCCUUCUUCUGGAUAACCGCAUGAAAGUGUGGCUAAUACGGGAUAUUCUGGGUCUGUCGCAUGAUGGGUCUGGGAAAGAUAUUGUUUCGGUGGGGGAUGGGCUCGCGGCCUAUCAGGUUGUUGGUGGGGUGAUGGCCUACCAAGGCGGUGACGGGUAGCCGGCCUGAGAGGGUCGACGGUCACACUGGGACUGAGACACGGCCCAGACUCCGACGGGAGGCAGCAUGGGAUAAUAUUGCACAAUGGGCGCAAUCCUGAUGCAGCGCCGCCGCAUUAGUGAUGGAGGCCUUCGGGUUGUGAACCUCUUUCGCCAGUGAAGCAGUCCUGCCUCGUGUGUGGGUGGGUUGACGGUAGCUGGAUAAGAAGCGCCGGCUAACUACGUG
This 494-nucleotide ribosomal RNA is filed under the name uncultured bacterium. RNAcentral's name for it is "partial 16S ribosomal RNA". It matches the Rfam family "Bacterial small subunit ribosomal RNA", at positions 28 to 507 of the family's 1533-position model. The record is from RNAcentral.